RNAcentral lists this unclassified non-coding RNA (540 nucleotides) under Zea mays. RNAcentral describes it as "misc RNA Zm00001eb199030". The record is from RNAcentral. Lineage: Eukaryota; Viridiplantae; Streptophyta; Magnoliopsida; Poales; Poaceae.
CGUUUCAAUGGGUUCCACCAACAACUGGCUAAACUUCGCCUCGUUCUCCGCCGGUAAUGCCGACGCCGCCCUGCACCCGCUGCCGCCCCAAGGCGAGGCAGAUGCCGAGGCACCGAAGCUGGAAGACUUCCUCGGCUUGCCGGAGCUGACAGCCCCGGUGGACACUAGGCCGCUCGCCGGGAGUGGCGCAAGCUCUAUCGGGCUGUCCAAGAUCAAGAACUGGCUGCGCAGCCGACCGGCGCCGGAACAUUCAGGUGUCGACUGCAUGGCGCUGGGGACGACUGCGACGUCGCUGGAGGGGAGCAGGAAGGUGGUCGACGGCACAGGGAGAGCGGCGGCACCAUUUUGGUGGACACUACGCUGCAGAGGAAGCCCUCGGCGGACACAUUCAGGCAGCGGACGUCUAAUUAUCGCGGCGCGGCGUCACAAAGCAUAGAUGGACAUGAAGGUAUGAAGCCCAUCUUUGGGACAAUAGCUGCAGAAGAGAAGGUCAGACUUGCCAAGGCAAACAAGGUCGGGAGGUCUGGCGCCUUGUUAAUG